This 914-nucleotide ribosomal RNA is filed under the name uncultured archaeon. RNAcentral's name for it is "bacterial SSU rRNA". It matches the Rfam family "Archaeal small subunit ribosomal RNA", at positions 1 to 922 of the family's 1478-position model. The record is from RNAcentral.
UUCCGGUUGAUCCUGCCGGAGGCUACCGCUAUUGGAGUUCGAUUAAGCCAUGCGAGUCGAGAGUCCUCGGGACUCGGCGUACCGCUCAGUAACACGUGGGUAACCUGCCCUAUGCUGGGGAAUAACCUCGGGAAACUGAGAAUAAUGCCCCAUAGCCCACUACGCCUGGAACGGUGAGUGGGUCAAAGCCCCGGCGGCAUAGGAUGGGCCUGCGCCGUAUCAGGUUGUAGGGGGUGUAAAGUACCCUCUAGCCAUCAACGCGUACGGGUGUUGGGAGACAUUGCCCGGAGAUGGAUUCUGAGACACGAAUCCAGACCCUACGGGGUGCAGCAGGCGCGAAAACUUGGCAAUGCGAGCAAUCGUGACCAGGGAACUCCAAGUGCGUAGGGUAAGACCUACGCUUUUCUUGACUCUUCAAAGGUCUUGGAAUAAGGGGUGGGUAAGGACGGUGCCAGCCGCCGCGGUAAUACCGGCGCCUCAAGUGGUAGUCGCUUUUAUUGGGCCUAAAACGUCCGUAGCCGGUCUGGUGCAUUCGUGGGUAAAUCAACCCGCUCAACGGGUUGAAUUCUGCGAGCACGGCCAGACUUGGGACCGGGAGAGGUGUGGGGUACUCUCAGGGUAGGGGUAAAAUCCUGUCAUCCCGAGCGGACCACCUGUUGCGAAGGCGCCACACUAGAACGGAUCCGACGGUCAGGGACGAAGCCUAGGGGCACGAACCGGAUUAGAUACCCGGGUAGUCCUAGGUGUAAACGCUGUGGACUUGGUGUUGGGAACUCCCAGAGGGCUCUCAGUGCCGUAGCGAAGGUGAUAAGUCCACUGCCUGGGGAGUACGGUCGCAAGGCUGAAACUUAAAGGAAUUGGCGGGGGAACACCGCAACCUGAGGAUUGUGCGGUUUAUUGGAGUCAACGCCGGA